Drosophila ananassae is the source of this 811-nucleotide long non-coding RNA. RefSeq lists it as uncharacterized. The record is from RefSeq and is a predicted model, not a curated record. NCBI's taxonomy places the organism in Eukaryota, Metazoa, Arthropoda, Insecta, Diptera, Drosophilidae. The transcript is spliced from 4 exons.
UUCAUUCGAAACCACCCAGAAGUGCAGACGCCCAAAUAGUAUCUCUCUGCAAGUGUAAAUUUUAUCAGCGCAAGAGCAGCGCAAGUGCAGUGUUCAUUUUUUUUUAUUUAUCAACUACCAAAUUUGCAACGGUGAUAAGGGCAGCCUAAGCCUGUGUUUGUGGGUUUUUUUGUUUUUGUUUCGCGGCUUUAUAAAAGCGCGACCUCGUGGCGGCCUUAUCAAAAUUUAUCAGGUGAAUAUAAAAUAUGUUUUCUAAUACCUCCAGGGUACUUAUUGUGGCCGUUUUAAAAAUUCAGGCGGUCCACAUCAAAGCACCCCGGGAGCGCUCCUGGUGGAGGCUCCCAGUUCAGGAGCGGCUUAACCUCGAUCGGGCUUUUAGUGAAGUGGAAAAAACGGAAUUGGAAAAUAUGAAGAUAAUAUUUAUUUUUUUUUAAACUUUCGCGAACAAAAUGGUUGUCAGUUUAAUUUUAAAUCGUUUAAUUUUAAUCCUCGUGCGAAAAUAAGUUUGUUUUAAAAUUCUAUGGUGUGCAAAAGCCUCAUUACACUCAUUUACAGCAACCCAAAGCAGAGAUCGAUCUUUCGCCGAUGGAUUUACACAUCUAUCUGUCUAUCUUGUCGCCAGCACGCUCAAUUCUGGACUUUAUUUAAUAUUAAAUGUGGCCGUGUUAGGAUUUGUACGAAGCAAGAUCUCCAUCCCCAAAGCCGACGAGCUAGAGCCGGACUCUAUAGCGUGCCCUCGCAAGUACGAAUCCUUCCUAAACAGCUCAGAAUACCGUUACACGCUACAGUUAUAAUUAAUUAAUUAUUAAAU